CCCGCACUAUGAUUGCCAAACUC
RNAcentral lists this microRNA (23 nucleotides) under Echinococcus granulosus. RNAcentral describes it as "egr-miR-10260-5p". Lineage: Eukaryota; Metazoa; Platyhelminthes; Cestoda; Cyclophyllidea; Taeniidae. The record is from miRBase by way of RNAcentral.